This 503-nucleotide ribosomal RNA is filed under the name uncultured bacterium. Its description in RNAcentral is "partial 16S ribosomal RNA". It matches the Rfam family "Bacterial small subunit ribosomal RNA", at positions 30 to 523 of the family's 1533-position model. The record is from RNAcentral.
AUUGAACGCUGGCGGCAGGCUUAACACAUGCAAGUCGAGCGGGGUGAUGGUGCUUGCACUAUCACUUAGCGGCGGACGGGUGAGUAAUGCUUAGGAAUCUGCCUAUUAGUGGGGGACAACAUCUCGAAAGGGAUGCUAAUACCGCAUACGUCCUACGAGAGAAAGCAGGGGAUCACUUGUGAUCUUGCGCUAAUAGAUGAGCCUAAGUCGGAUUAGCUAGUUGGUGGGGGAAGGGCCUACCAAGGCGACGAUCUGUAGCGGGUCUGAGAGGAUGAGCCGCCACACUGGGACUGAGACACGGCCCAGAAUCCUACGGGAGGCAGCAGGGGGGAAUAUUGGACAAUGGGGGGAACCCUGAUCCAGCCAUGCCGCGUGUGUGAAGAAGGCCUUAUGGUUGUAAAGCACUUUAAGCGAGGAGGAGGCUCUUUUGGUUAAUACCCAAGAUGAGUGGACGUUACUCGCAGAAUAAGCACCGGCUAACUCUGUGCCAGCAGCCGCCGUAA